This 121-nucleotide small RNA is filed under the name Marmota monax (woodchuck). The record is from RNAcentral. Lineage: Eukaryota; Metazoa; Chordata; Mammalia; Rodentia; Sciuridae.
GCUGGGUGCGGUGGUGCCCACCUGUCAUCCCAGGCAGGGGAGGCUGAGGCAGGAGGAUGGAUUUCAAAGCCAGCCUCAGCCACAGUGAGGCCCUAAGCAACUCAGUGAGACCCUGUCUCUC